UACGGGGGGGGCAAGCGUUGUUCGGAAUUACUGGGCGUAAAGGGCUCGUAGGCGGCCAACUAAGUCAAACGUGAAAUCCCUCGGCUUAACCGGGGAACUGCGCUUGAUACUGGAUGGCUUGAGAUUGGGAGAGGGAUGCGGAAUUCCAGGUGUAGCGGUGAAAUGCGUAGAUAUCUGGAGGAACACCGGUGGCGAAGGCGGCAUCCUGGACCAACACUGACGCUGAGUGAGCGAAAGCCAGGGGAGCGAACGGG
Molecule: ribosomal RNA, 254 nt
Filed under: uncultured bacterium
Lineage: Bacteria
Description: partial 16S ribosomal RNA
Rfam family: Bacterial small subunit ribosomal RNA
Source: RNAcentral